UUAAGCGACUAAGCGUACACGGUGGAUGCCCUGGCAGUCAGAGGCGAUGAAGGACGUGCUAAUCUGCGAAAAGCGUCGGUAAGGUGAUAUGAACCGUUAUAACCGGCGAUGUCCGAAUGGGGAAACCCAGUGCAAUUCGUUGCACUAUCGUUAACUGAAUACAUAGGUUAACGAGGCGAACCGGGGGAACUGAAACAUCUAAGUACCCCGAGGAAAAGAAAUCAACCGAGAUUCCCCCAGUAGCGGCGAGCGAACGGGGAGCAGCCCAGAGUCUGAAUCAGCUUGUGUGUUAGUGGAACGGUCUGGAAAGUCCGACGGUACAGGGUGAUAGUCCCGUACACCAAAAUGCACAGGCUGUGAACUCGAAGAGUAGGGCGGGACACGUGGUAUCCUGUCUGAAUAUGGGGGGACCAUCCUCCAAGGCUAAAUACUCCUGACUGACCGAUAGUGAACCAGUACCGUGAGGGAAAGGCGAAAAGAACCCCGGCGAGGGGAGUGAAAAAGAACCUGAAACCGUGUACGUACAAGCAGUGGGAGCACCUUCGGGUGUGACUGCGUACCUUUUGUAUAAUGGGUCAGCGACUUAUAUUCUGUAGCAAGGUUAACCGUAUAGGGGAGCCGCAGGGAAACCGAGUCUUAACUGGGCGUUAAGUUGCAGGGUAUAGACCCGAAACCCGGUGAUCUAGCCAUGGGCAGGUUGAAGGUUGGGUAACACUAACUGGAGGACCGAACCGACUAAUGUUGAAAAAUUAGCGGAUGACUUGUGGCUGGGGGUGAAAGGCCAAUCAAACCGGGAGAUAGCUGGUUCUCCCCGAAAGCUAUUUAGGUAGCGCCUCGUGAACUCAUCUUCGGGGGUAGAGCACUGUUUCGGCUAGGGGGUCAUCCCGACUUACCAACCCGAUGCAAACUACGAAUACCGAAGAAUGUUAUCACGGGAGACACACGGCGGGUGCUAACGUCCGUCGUGAAGAGGGAAACAACCCAGACCGCCAGCUAAGGUCCCAAAGUCAUGGUUAAGUGGGAAACGAUGUGGGAAGGCACAGACAGCCAGGAUGUUGGCUUAGAAGCAGCCAUCAUUUAAAGAAAGCGUAAUAGCUCACUGGUCGAGUCGGCCUGCGCGGAAGAUGUAACGGGGCUAAACCAUGCACCGAAGCUGCGGCAGCGACACUAUGUGUUGUUGGGUAGGGGAGCGUUCUGUAAGCCUGCGAAGGUGUGCUGUGAGGGUUGCUGGAGGUAUCAGAAGUGCGAAUGCUGACAUAAGUAACGAUAAAGCGGGUGAAAAGCCCGCUCGCCGGAAGACCAAGGGUUCCUGUCCAACGUUAAUCGGGGCAGGGUGAGUCGACCCCUAAGGCGAGGCCGAAAGGCGUAGUCGAUGGGAAACAGGUUAAUAUUCCUGUACUUGGUGUUACUGCGAAGGGGGGACGGAGAAGGCUAUGUUAGCCGGGCGACGGUUGUCCCGGUUUAAGCAUGUAGGCUGGUUGUCCAGGCAAAUCCGGAUAAUCAAGGCUGAGGUGUGAUGACGAGGCACUACGGUGCUGAAGUAACAAAUGCCCUGCUUCCAGGAAAAGCCUCUAAGCAUCAGGUAACAUCAAAUCGUACCCCAAACCGACACAGGUGGUCAGGUAGAGAAUACCAAGGCGCUUGAGAGAACUCGGGUGAAGGAACUAGGCAAAAUGGUGCCGUAACUUCGGGAGAAGGCACGCUGGUGUGUAGGUGAAGUCCCUGCGGAUGGAGCUGAGACCAGUCGAAGAUACCAGCUGGCUGCAACUGUUUAUUAAAAACACAGCACUGUGCAAACACGAAAGUGGACGUAUACGGUGUGACGCCUGCCCGGUGCCGGAAGGUUAAUUGAUGGGGUUAUCCGUAAGGAGAAGCUCUUGAUCGAAGCCCCGGUAAACGGCGGCCGUAACUAUAACGGUCCUAAGGUAGCGAAAUUCCUUGUCGGGUAAGUUCCGACCUGCACGAAUGGCGUAAUGAUGGCCAGGCUGUCUCCACCCGAGACUCAGUGAAAUUGAACUCGCUGUGAAGAUGCAGUGUACCCGCGGCAAGACGGAAAGACCCCGUGAACCUUUACUAUAGCUUGACACUGAACAUUGAGCCUUGAUGUGUAGGAUAGGUGGGAGGCUUUGAAGCGUGGACGCCAGUCUGCGUGGAGCCAACCUUGAAAUACCACCCUUUAAUGUUUGAUGUUCUAACGUUGGCCCCUGACCGGGGUUGCGGACAGUGUCUGGUGGGUAGUUUGACUGGGGCGGUCUCCUCCCAAAGCGUAACGGAGGAGCACGAAGGUUAGCUAAUCCUGGUCGGACAUCAGGAGGUUAGUGCAAUGGCAUAAGCUAGCUUGACUGCGAGCGUGACGGCGCGAGCAGGUGCGAAAGCAGGUCAUAGUGAUCCGGUGGUUCUGAAUGGAAGGGCCAUCGCUCAACGGAUAAAAGGUACUCCGGGGAUAACAGGCUGAUACCGCCCAAGAGUUCAUAUCGACGGCGGUGUUUGGCACCUCGAUGUCGGCUCAUCACAUCCUGGGGCUGAAGUAGGUCCCAAGGGUAUGGCUGUUCGCCAUUUAAAGUGGUACGCGAGCUGGGUUUAGAACGUCGUGAGACAGUUCGGUCCCUAUCUGCCGUGGGCGCUGGAGAAUUGAGGGGGGCUGCUCCUAGUACGAGAGGACCGGAGUGGACGCAUCACUGGUGUUCGGGUUGUCAUGCCAAUGGCACUGCCCGGUAGCUAAAUGCGGAAGAGAUAAGUGCUGAAAGCAUCUAAGCACGAAACUUGCCCCGAGAUGAGUUCUCCCUGAGACUUUAAGUCUCCUGAAGGAACGUUAAAGACGAUGACGUUGAUAGGCCGGGUGUGUAAGCGCAGCGAUGCGUUGAGCUAACCGGUACUAAUGAACCGUGAGGCUUAACCUU
This 2900-nucleotide ribosomal RNA is filed under the name Klebsiella pneumoniae CHS 55. RNAcentral describes it as "bacterial LSU rRNA". It matches the Rfam family "Bacterial large subunit ribosomal RNA". Lineage: Bacteria; Pseudomonadati; Pseudomonadota; Gammaproteobacteria; Enterobacterales; Enterobacteriaceae. The record is from RNAcentral.